This 1711-nucleotide long non-coding RNA is filed under the name Marmota monax (woodchuck). Lineage: Eukaryota; Metazoa; Chordata; Mammalia; Rodentia; Sciuridae. The record is from RNAcentral.
UUUUAAUGAAGUUCAAUUUAUCCUUCCCUUAAUAGUUUGUGCUUUUUUUUAACCUGUUAAAGAUAUGCUUUCAUCUCAAUUCAUGAAGAUAUACAUGUAUGCAAUUAUUGUAGAAGUUCUAUUAUUUUACCUUUCAUAUUUAGGUCUAAAAUCCAAACAGAAGACUUACAGCUUCCACUCUGAUGUACAAAGAACAUGAAAGUUAUCAAUCCUCUUUGUGACAAGAAGAAAGUUGAGCAAAUUGAAAACCAACAAUCCUUAUUAGAUCCACCAGAGAAUUGCAAUCAUAUAACAAAUAAUUGUAUCAAAAACUGGAGAGACAGGAAAAUACAGAGAAUCACUUCUUAAAAGGAAGAGAAGUACUGCUGUCUGGAGGUAGUACUCAUAGAACCACUUAAGCUGCAAUUGAUGAAUUGCUGGAGUCUUCAUCUGAACCAGCCUGAACCUUAAAAAGUCCAAUGGUUCCAGGCUUAGGGAGGCCCUACAGUUUUAUAAGUUCUAUCUUCAGGAAACCCACCAGGUUGUCACAGUCAGGAUCUUGCUUCCAGCAAGAAAAAGAAAAAGAUAAUAACUUUGAGCUGUCCAUAUGGGAAAAGUACUCAUUUGGAUAUAUAUUCUCAGAGUCUUCUAUUCUUCCUUCUGUUUUCUGUGACAAAGGUCAACCUCAAGGGAAACCACUUUUUCAAAGACUUUUAUAUGACCUUAGGAAAUACAAGUACCCAAUUCCAGCUCCCUCUAGUCUUUUGGUCUCAUGGAAGAGGAGAAGAACUUUCUCACAAGAUAAUGUAACAGAAUAUCCAAGAUCUGUGGUACUUUAAUGAGGAUUCCAGAAAAAUGAAAGAAAUGGGAAAAUAAAAUAUGUGAAGUCAUAAUAGCUCAGAAUUUUUCACAAUUAAUGAGAGAUAUAUCAAAAUUUAAGUUGUAGGAAACUAAGAGAAUAUUAAGUUAGAUAAAUACUGAAAACUCCACACAUAGGCAUAUGAUAUCCCAACUGCACAAAAGUAAAGACAAAGAAAAAAUAUCAGAAAAAAAAUCAGAAGGGGGGAAAAUCACUUUACUUACAUAAGAACAAAGAUAAGACUUACACAGGAACUCUUCAGAAACCAUGCAAGCAAAAAGAGUGGAGUGGAAUACUGAAAGUGUACCCCCACCCAGAAAAAUCACCAACCUAUGUAUUUCUAUAUCCACUGAAAUUAUCCCUCAAAAUUGAAGAAAAAAUAAAACUUUCUCAAACGACCAAGGAAACUGUCAGCAGUAUACUUGCUUUACAAAACAUUUUUUUGUUUGUUUUUUAAAAACUGCAUGGUACUGGCAUAAAAACAGACACAAACCAAUGGUACAGAAUAGAAGAUACAGAGACAAACUCACACAUAUGCAGUUAUCUGAUCCUUGACAAAGGUGCCAAAAACAUACAUUGGAGAAAAGAAAGCCUUUUUAACAAAUGGUGCUGGGAAAACUGGUUAUCCAUAUGUAGGUGAAUGAAAUUAGUCCCUUACUUCUCACCCUGCACAGGGUCAACACUCCAGCUUUUAGGUACAGGUAAUUACAUUCUCAGAAGAACUCCUGAAGCUCAGACAAUAGUGCCAAGAAUUAAAUGGAACAGCAUCAAAUUCAAAAGCUUUUGCACAGCAAAGUAAACAAUUAGGAAUGUGAAGAGAAAACCCACAGAAUGGGAAAAAUCUUUGCUACCUACUCUUCUGACAUAGGAUUA